Long non-coding RNA from Oreochromis niloticus (Nile tilapia), 2212 nucleotides. RefSeq lists it as uncharacterized. The transcript has 3 exons. Lineage: Eukaryota; Metazoa; Chordata; Actinopteri; Cichliformes; Cichlidae. The record is from RefSeq and is a predicted model, not a curated record.
UAACACAACAAGCAGAAACUGAGCGAUUCGGGUUUUAAAAGAUGUACAAACAUCAGCCAGGUGUAUGUGUGGAGGUUGCACACUGAAUUAACUGUGGUGUUUUCUGGCGCUGAGUCCAAACCUCAGUAUUAAGACACUUAAAUGUACCCUAAACUGCACCACGCACACAAUCUGAAACACUUUGUUCUCAUGUUUAAAUCGGCUGAGCAUUUUGUCUUUACAUUCAUCUUCACCUCUCGGGUGCUGAACGCUGACCACGACCACCAGAGCCCAACGCUUUGUCACGCCAACACCCGCUUUCUCUGUCUUUAAACAAAACGGCUGCAAUAGGCCUCAACUACAAAAACAUAUAGAGGUGUAGUGUGUGGGUAUACCCUCACCAAUUACCAGCAGGCCAGCAGCUCAGGGUGUUAUGACAGCAGUUUAGGAAGUACAGAGAAAGGGUGUGCUCAGCGAAAUGUGACCGACUCCAGUGCAGAGGUUUGUCUAAGAACAGCUCAAACUGGAAGGAUAUCUUUGGGAUUAGCAGCUUAUGUAACACCUGCACAGGCACACAUCUGGAAGUCAUUCAGUAUUGAGCAGCGAUUAUACCUUAAUUGAUUUUAUGGUCAAAUAAUUACAUAAACUGCAGAGCGCACCCAUUUUCCCCACUAAUUUCCAGGUAUAGAUGGUUAUAAAGAGCUUCUUUUGUUGAUAAGAUGUUGAAAAGUCAACAUUGAUUAAUCCAACUUACUUCCAGGUAUCUGGUGUCUCGCUAACACUUCAGCAGUGUGUGUGCUUUGGGAUUUAAAGAUUCUUAGUAAACUAGCAGGAUUUUCCCAAAUCUCGUGGUUAUUGUUUUAAUAUCCUGAGAUGAGCUCAGAGAAUUUCAGCCAAGACUUCUGAAUUUACAGGGUUGUUUAAUCUCAAUGGUCGAUUGUUUCAUGUAUAUCAGCCAAACUAGAAACUAGAUUUAGAAACAUAAACUGUGGCUAAUCUGGAAAACACUCCAUGUGUUUCCCCCAGAAAAAACAAUUUACUGCCCCAAAUUUGCAACUAAUGACACCAGUGGCUGUGGGAGGGGCUAUUCCUAGAAAUUUCCUAAUGUUUUACAGACGCAGACCUGAGAUUCAGUCUGACACAAUUUUCUUUUCACAGAAUUAAAAAAAAAUCAUUUGAUUCUCCAGUCUGUAGAAAUGUGGCAUGGUUGGAUAAAAGGCACUGAAAGCUGUUUAACGGCACUGACUACAGCAGGUGUUUUUAAAGCUUUGGCUCAGUGCAGAUAAAAUUCACCAGAAUACCAGUGAAAGCACAUAUGGUGGACAAUACAAGAGGACAAACAGACCGUCGGUGUGCGUGAUCGAAGAGAGGACCAAGUGCUGAUGGACGAAUGACUGAGGUUUGGGUUUUGGUGGUGGGAGGUCCGUGCACACAGGGCACUGUGUUAAAUAAAUAACCUCACAGAUCUUUAAACGGACUCUUCUAGACUUUACUGAGGACUUUACUGUGAAUAACCACUCGCACAGUGACUGUAUUUAUGCAGGAUGGCUGCAGGGCGAGAAGACACAUCAGCUGACUGGAGGAUACAAGUUUGACACCAUCACAGACAAAUCAGAGCCUGUUUUCAUAGAUGAACCUCAGCAGAGUGUGUAGUGUCAUUUGAUUUCUCACACACAUGACACCACACGAAUUCUUCCACAUGCUGUGUUCCUACUUCUCUGUUUGGUUUAGGUGAGGAUGCUGGAUGAAUAAAGCAUCCAAAAGACACCAUGAGGACCAUGGGGGUAGGUUCUGUUUGGGGACCCAGAAACCAGCAGAAACACUUCCUGCCUAUUUAAUUUAAUAUUUAAUUUAACAACUUCUACCUUACCUGCAUUGAUUUAUGGAGGAGAAAUUGGUAAAAUAACGCAGUAAGAGCUCUUAAGUAUUCUGUGUCGCUUAACCAUAAUUGUUCUCCACAUUGUUCAUUCAAUGCACUCAUUUUACUGAGUGUGACUAAGAACAAGAAGCUCAGGCAGUAUAACUGUGCUAACAUCCUUCAUAUUACAUUUACAGUUUGAGGGUAAAUGGCAGUUUUAUGGGAUGUCUGUGUUCUACAUUCUUGACUCUGUUUUUAAGUUAAAGUCAAACAGUUAAAUCAUAAACUGACAACAUUAUGACCUUCCCUGUAUCCAAAGCAUUUGUUUGUGUGUGAAUAUAAAGCUUUGAAUCUACUGUACUGUUUGCACACAAG